CGUCCGUCGUCCGUCGUCCGUCGUCGAUAACUUUUAUAAAAAAUCUUCUCUGAAACUACUGGGCCAAAUUAAACCAAACUUGGCCACAAUCAUCAUUAGGGUAUCUAGUUUAAAAAAUGUGUCCGGCGACUCUUCCAACAAACCGAGAUGGCCGCCAUGGCUAAAAAUAGAACAUAGGGGUAAAAUGCAGUUUUUGGCUUAUAACUCAAAAACCAAAGCAUUUAGAGCAAAUCUGACGGAGUAAAAUUGUUUAUCAGGUGAAGAUCUAUCUGCCCUGAAAUUUUCAGACGAAUCGGAUUACCUGUUGUUGGGUUGCUGCCCCUGAAUUGGUAAUUUUAAGGAAAUUCUGCUGUUUUUGGUUUUUAUCUUGAAUAUUAUUAUAGAUAGAGAUAAACUGUAAACAGCAAUAAUGUUCAGCAAAGUAAGAUUUACGAAUAAGUCAACAUGACCGAAAUGGUCAGUUGACCCCUUUAGGAGUUAUUGCUUUUUAUAGUCAAUUUUUAACCAUUUUUUGUAAAUCUUAGUAAUCCUUUACAAAAAUCUUCUCCUCUGAAACUACUGGGCCAAAUUAAUCCAAACUUAGCCACAAUCAUCUUUGGGGUAUCUAGUUUAAAAAUGUUUGGCGUGACUUUGCCAUCCAACCAAGAUGGCCGCCACGGCUAAAAAUAGAACAUAGGGAUAAAAUGCAGUUUUUGGCUUAUAACUCAAAAACCAGAGCAUAUAUAUCAAAUCUGACUGUAAUAAAAUUGUUUAUCAGGUCAAGAUCUAUCAGCCCUGAAAUUUUCAGAUGAAUCGGACAACCUGUUGUUGGGUUGCUGCCC
This 821-nucleotide long non-coding RNA is filed under the name Mytilus galloprovincialis (Mediterranean mussel). Lineage: Eukaryota; Metazoa; Mollusca; Bivalvia; Mytilida; Mytilidae. The record is from RNAcentral.